GGUGUGUAGUUCAGUUGGUAGAGUGCUUGCCAAGUGUGCUGGAAGCCCUGGGUUCAUUCCUAGCUCCACAUCA
This 73-nucleotide transfer RNA is filed under the name Mus musculus (house mouse). RNAcentral's name for it is "tRNA-Thr". The record is from RNAcentral. Lineage: Eukaryota; Metazoa; Chordata; Mammalia; Rodentia; Muridae.